Molecule: ribosomal RNA, 88 nt
Filed under: Enterobacter cloacae
Lineage: Bacteria; Pseudomonadati; Pseudomonadota; Gammaproteobacteria; Enterobacterales; Enterobacteriaceae
Also listed under: 23 other names
Source: RNAcentral
UGACCCCAUGCCGAACUCAGAAGUGAAACGCCGUAGCGCCGAUGGUAGUGUGGGGUCUCCCCAUGUGAGAGUAGGGAACUGCCAGGCA